RNAcentral lists this ribosomal RNA (505 nucleotides) under uncultured bacterium. Its description in RNAcentral is "partial 16S ribosomal RNA". It matches the Rfam family "Bacterial small subunit ribosomal RNA", at positions 28 to 507 of the family's 1533-position model. The record is from RNAcentral.
GACGAACGCUGGCGGCGUGCCUAAUACAUGCAAGUAGAACGCACAGUUUAUACCGUAGCUUGCUACACCAUAGACUGUGAGUUGCGAACGGGUGAGUAACGCGUAGGUAACCUGCCUGGUAGCGGGGGAUAACUAUUGGAAACGAUAGCUAAUACCGCAUAAUAUUAAUUAUUGCAUGAUAACUAAUUGAAAGGUGCAAUUGCACCACUACCAGAUGGACCUGCGUUGUAUUAGCUAGUAGGUGAGGUAACGGCUCACCUAGGCGACGAUACAUAGCCGACCUGAGAGGGUGAUCGGCCACACUGGGACUGAGACACGGCCCAGACUCCUACGGGAGGCAGCAGUAGGGAAUCUUCGGCAAUGGACGAAAGUCUGACCGAGCAACGCCGCGUGAGUGAAGAAGGUUUUCGGAUCGUAAAGCUCUGUUGUAAGAGAAGAACGGGUGUGAGAGUGGAAAGUUCACACUGUGACGGUAUCUUACCAGAAAGGGACGGCUAACUACGUG